GACGAACGCUGGCGGCGUGCCUAAUACAUGCAAGUCGAGCGGACCGGAUUGGGGCUUGCCUUGAUUCGGUCAGCGGCGGACGGGUGAGUAACACGUGGGCAACCUGCCCGCAAGACCGGGAUAACUCCGGGAAACCGGAGCUAAUACCGGAUAACACCGAAGACCGCAUGGUCUUCGGUUGAAAGGCGGCCUUUGGGCUGUCACUUGCGGAUGGGCCCGCGGCGCAUUAGCUAGUUGGUGAGGUAACGGCUCACCAAGGCGACGAUGCGUAGCCGGCCUGAGAGGGGGACCGGCCACACUGGAACUGAGACACGGCCCAGACUCCUACGGGAGGCAGCAGUGGGGAAUCUUCCGCAAUGGGCGAAAGCCUGACGGAGCGAGGCCGCGUGAGGGAAGAAGGCCUUCGGAUCGUAAAGCUCUGUUGGGGGGGAGGAAGGGGAGUGUUUUAAAAAGGGGGGGGCGGGACGGUACCCACAGAAAAAGGCCCGGCUAAAUUCGUG
RNAcentral lists this ribosomal RNA (500 nucleotides) under uncultured bacterium. RNAcentral describes it as "partial 16S ribosomal RNA". It matches the Rfam family "Bacterial small subunit ribosomal RNA", at positions 28 to 507 of the family's 1533-position model. The record is from RNAcentral.